Physella acuta is the source of this 680-nucleotide long non-coding RNA. RefSeq lists it as uncharacterized. The record is from RefSeq and is a predicted model, not a curated record. Lineage: Eukaryota; Metazoa; Mollusca; Gastropoda; Physidae.
CUUCAGACGACCAAAUGGUUGAACAAGUCCCUCAAGACAAACCAUUUGACGCCUUCCUGCUCUAUGAAUACUCAUAAAGAUCCUGCGAAUUUGCUGCCCUAAAACCAUCAGAAAUGAUGUUCUAUUGCAAUGGACAAAUCAACUGCCAGCUGAAGUAGAGAUGAUUAACAGUGUUCUAACAGAAAAAAGGACCACCUUUCUGAAUAUGCAAAUAAAAAAUUUAUACGAUGUCAGAAUCACAUGCUAAUUAUUGAAUUGCUUCGUUGUUUAAAAUAUUUAGUCUAUUAUGCAUUUUUUUUGGUUUAGUAUCCCUCUAAAGGCUAUUUCACAGGUAUUUGUAAAGAAAUUUGUUGAAUGGUUAAAAAAUGUCCACGAGUUGAAUGUGAGAAGUGUCAAAAUCUGUUGUUCAAACGCCGUGAAAUUUUUUAAAUCAGUAAAUGAGAUAUAUUGUAUAAUGUCAACAACUAUAAAACUUACGUUGAAUUAGAGGGCUUAAAAUUAACUUUUUAAUGGUACAGAGCUUAUUACAUUACGAGCCCUUUUUAUUAUAUAAACUAUGAAGUGAAAAGUUACUAGCAGAUAAUUUUUUUAGUUUUUUAAAAAGUUAAGCAUGUUUCAAGAAAUAAUUUACGAUGAUAUCAAUGUAAAAGGUAUACUGAAUAAAUCAGUUCAAACUGAAA